GAAAAAGUUCGAAACGCAACGUUACGAUACGACUCUUCGAUUCUGAAAGCAAAUCGCGAAAGCUUGUCCGCUCUCUUUCUCUCCGAUCGAAAGCAUCUCUCUCUCUCUCUAGGAUCAAGAACGAGAGUGGGCGAAGAGGGAUUAGCUCUCGUGGAGGACUCGAAGAGAGCGAGGAUGCACGACAUCACAUUGGCUUCGAGGAAGGCUGAAGAAGCAGCUUGGAGACGGUAUCAGGGCCGAUGAGUGGCUCCAACGUCCCGCUUGGAUUGCCGCGUCAGCCGUCGGAGAGGGAGUUCUUUUCUUGUUUGAGGAAUGGCCAAUUUCUGUGCAAUGCCAUCAAUAGAAUUCAACCUGGAACUGUGCCCAAGGUGUUGAGUCCAUCUCAUUGAUUAUUCUCUUGCCCUAGAAUUUACAUUUCAGUCGAUCGAGGAAAAGGAGGCGCUUGUUUAUCUAGAGUAGAUGGGAUUUGAGUGUGAUCGUGUUAGCAUUGGACCAUUUUGCACCUCUAUUGAGGUCAAUUGUGUUGGAAGAUACGCGCGAGUUGUGCAAUAUUCUUUGAGAUUGAGAUUGAUAUGUUAGAUCAAUCAACGUCAAUCCAAUAUUGGAAUUGAUUUUAUAAUAUACUUUAUUUCAUUUUCUUGUACAUGUCUAGUGCUAUAAUUGUAGAGCAUUGUGCAUUGGAUCAAU
This is a long non-coding RNA of Eucalyptus grandis, 687 nucleotides long. RefSeq lists it as uncharacterized. NCBI's taxonomy places the organism in Eukaryota, Viridiplantae, Streptophyta, Magnoliopsida, Myrtales, Myrtaceae. The record is from RefSeq and is a predicted model, not a curated record. The transcript is spliced from 3 exons.